AUUGAACGCUGGCGGCGUGCCUAACACAUGCAAGUCGAGCGGCAGCGCAGGUAGUUUACUACCUGGCGGCGAGCGGCGGACGGCUGAGUAACGCGUGGGAACAUGCCCCAAAGUGAGGAAUAACUGCCCGAAAGGGUAGCUAAUGCCGCAUAUGGUCUUCGGAUUAAAGGAUUUAUCCGCUUUGGGAGUGGCCUGCGUACGAUUAGAUAGUUGGUGAGGUAAUGGCUCACCAAGUCGACGAUCGUUAACUGGUCUGAGAGGAUGAUCAGUCAGACUGGAACUGAGACACGGUCCAGACUCCUACGGGAGGCAGCAGUGAGGAAUCUUCCACAAUGGGCGAAAGCCUGAUGGAGCAACGCCGCGUGCAGGAUGAAGGCCUUCGGGUCGUAAACUGCUUUUAUGAGUGAAGAAUAUGACUGUAACUCAUGAAUAAGCACCGGCUAACUACGUGCCAGCAGCCGCCGUA
Molecule: ribosomal RNA, 466 nt
Filed under: uncultured bacterium
Lineage: Bacteria
Description: partial 16S ribosomal RNA
Rfam family: Bacterial small subunit ribosomal RNA
Source: RNAcentral